CCCAUCGCUAUCUCUCUUCAUCUGGCAAAUCACUGGCGACUUAAAGUCGACCACCCGGUACGGCCCGGCAUACCUCGGUGCCAACUUAGCCGCGAAUCCCUCCGCCGCGUUCGAUAGAUGGUGCUGCCGCACCCAUACGACCUCUCCUAUCUGUGGCUUCCACUCCCGUCUCCUCAGGUUGUAGUGCCUUGCCUGAUCCUGGGCCGCCCUCUCCAGAUUGCGUCGCACCAACUGGAAAAUUUCCCUCAAUUUCGAUACAUUUUCCUCCGGCGUUCUCGGCCCUUGUCCUGUUCCUAGGGCUCCCUCGUCGUACAGCGCGUUUGGCAGUCGGGGCUCUCUUCCUUGUACGAUGUACGCUGGAGAAUAGCCCGUUGACUCUGCCACGCCUGUAUUCACAGC
This 399-nucleotide long non-coding RNA is filed under the name Drosophila guanche. The record is from RNAcentral. Lineage: Eukaryota; Metazoa; Arthropoda; Insecta; Diptera; Drosophilidae.